UACGUAGGGGGCGAGCGUUGUCCGAAGUUACUGGGCGUAAAGCGCGCGUAGGCGGGUUCUUAAGUGAGGGGUGAAAGGUUUGGGCUCAACCCAAACACUGCCUUUCAUACUGGGAGCCUUGAGUGCGGGAGAGGCGAGUGGAAUGGUCGGUGUAGCGGUGAAAUGCGUAGAUAUCGAUCGGAACACCCAUGGCGAAGGCAGCUCGCUGGCCUGCAACUGACGCUGAGGCGCGAAAGCGUGGGGAGCAAACAGG
Molecule: ribosomal RNA, 253 nt
Filed under: uncultured bacterium
Lineage: Bacteria
Description: partial 16S ribosomal RNA
Rfam family: Bacterial small subunit ribosomal RNA
Source: RNAcentral